CGGGGUGCAGCAGGCGCGAAAACUUUACAAUGCGGGAAACCGUGAUAGGGGGACACCGAGUGCCAGCAUCAUAUGCGGGCUGUCCGGGUGUGUAAAAUACACCCGUUAGCAAGGGCCGGGCAAGACCGGUGCCAGCCGCCGCGGUAACACCGGCGGCCCGAGUGGUGAUCGUGAUUAUUGGGUCUAAAGGGUCCGUAGCCGGUUUGGUCAGUCCUCCGGGAAAUUUGACGGCUCAACCGUUAGGCUUUCGGGGGAUACUGCCAGGCUUGGAACCGGGAGAGGUAAGAGGUACUACAGGGGUAGGAGUGAAAUCUUGUAAUCCCUGUGAGACCACCUGUGGCGAAGGCGUUUUACCAGAACGGGUUCGACGGUGAGGGACGAAAGCUGGGGGCACGAACCGGAUUAGAUACCCGGGUAGUCCCAGCCGUAAACGAUGCUCGCUAGGUGUCAGGCAUGGCGCGACCGUGUCUGGUGCCGCAGGGAAGCCGUGAAGCGAGCCACCUGGGAAGUACGGCCGCAAGGCUGAAACUUAAAGGAAUUGGCGGGGGAGC
This 551-nucleotide ribosomal RNA is filed under the name uncultured archaeon. RNAcentral describes it as "bacterial SSU rRNA". It matches the Rfam family "Archaeal small subunit ribosomal RNA", at positions 326 to 877 of the family's 1478-position model. The record is from RNAcentral.